AUUGAACGCUGGCGGCAUGCCUAACACAUGCAAGUCGCACGCGAAAGGGGGCAACCCUGAGUAGAGUGGCGGACGGGUGAGUAACGCGUAGGAAUCUACCUGGUAGUGGGGGACAACCCGGCGAAAGCCGGGCUAAUACCGCAUACGAUCCACGGAUGAAAGCAGGGGACCGCAAGGCCUUGCGCUAUCAGAUGAGCCUGCGUCGGAUUAGCUAGUUGGUGGGGUAAAGGCCCACCAAGGCGACGAUCCGUAGCUGGUUUGAGAGAACGACCAGCCACACCGGAACUGAGACACGGUCCGGACUCCUACGGGUGGCAG
This 318-nucleotide ribosomal RNA is filed under the name uncultured Pseudomonadota bacterium. RNAcentral's name for it is "bacterial SSU rRNA". It matches the Rfam family "Bacterial small subunit ribosomal RNA", at positions 29 to 351 of the family's 1533-position model. The record is from RNAcentral. Lineage: Bacteria; Pseudomonadati; Pseudomonadota.